AAGCUCCAGGACUAGAGAUACUUUUUAUGAUCUUUCAGUAAUUUCUUCAGAGCAAUAUCCUCUCAGGCAGGUUAUUGCUGCUCUCUCAGAAUUUAUGAUAUUAGGCAUC
Molecule: non-coding RNA, 109 nt
Organism: Myotis lucifugus (little brown bat)
Lineage: Eukaryota; Metazoa; Chordata; Mammalia; Chiroptera; Vespertilionidae
Source: Rfam